This 253-nucleotide ribosomal RNA is filed under the name uncultured bacterium. RNAcentral describes it as "partial 16S ribosomal RNA". It matches the Rfam family "Bacterial small subunit ribosomal RNA", at positions 524 to 776 of the family's 1533-position model. The record is from RNAcentral.
UACAGAGGUCUCAAGCGUUGUUCGGAUUCAUUGGGCGUAAAGGGUGCGUAGGCGGCGGCGUAAGUCGGGUGUGAAAUCCCAGGGCUCAACCCUGGAACUGCAUUCGAUACUGCGUCGCUGGAGGACUGGAGAGGAGACUGGAAUUCACGGUGUAGCAGUGAAAUGCGUAGAUAUCGUGAGGAAGGCCAGUGGCGAAGGCGAGUCUCUGGACAGUUCCUGACGCUGAGGCACGAAGGCCAGGGGAGCAAACGGG